UACGUAGGCAGCAAGCGUUGUUCGGAGUUACUGGGCGUAAAGGGUGCGUAGGCGGCUUUUUAAGUUUGGUGUGAAAUCUCCCGGCUCAACUGGGAGGGUGCGCCGAAUACUGAGGGACUAGAGUGCGGGAGAGGAAAGUGGAAUUCCUGGUGUAGCGGUGAAAUGCGUAGAUAUCAGGAGGAACACCGGUGGUGUAGACGGCUUUCUGGACCGUAACUGACGCUGAGACACGAAAGCGUGGGUAGCAAACAGG
Molecule: ribosomal RNA, 253 nt
Filed under: uncultured bacterium
Lineage: Bacteria
Description: partial 16S ribosomal RNA
Rfam family: Bacterial small subunit ribosomal RNA
Source: RNAcentral